Molecule: non-coding RNA, 2912 nt
Organism: Glycine max (soybean)
Lineage: Eukaryota; Viridiplantae; Streptophyta; Magnoliopsida; Fabales; Fabaceae
Source: Rfam
GUUCAAAUGAAGAAAGGCUUAUGGUGGAUAACUAGGUACCCAGAGACGAGGAAGGGCAUAGUAAGCGACGAAAUGCUUCGUGGAGUAGAAAAUAAGCAUAGAUAUGAGGAUUCCUAAUAUAGGUCAACCUUUCGAACUGCAACUGAAUCUAUGGGCAGGCAAGAGACAACAUGGUGAACUAAAACAUCUUGGUAGCUAGAGGAAAAGAAAGCAAAAGCGAUUCCCAUAGUAGCGGCGAGCAAAAUGGGAGCAACCUAAAUCGUGAAAACGGGGUUGUGAGAGAGCUAUACAAGUGUCGUGCUGCUAGGCGAAGCAGCAGAGAAUGCUGCACCCUAAAUGGCGAGAGUCCAGUAGCCGAAAGCAUCACUAGCUUACACUCUGACCCGAGUAGCAUGGGCAUGUGGAAUCUCGUGUGAAUCAGCAAUGACCACCUUGGAAGGCAAAAUACUCCUGGGUUACUGAUAGUGAAGUAGUACCCGUGAGGGAAGGGUGAAAAGAACCCUCAUCGGGGAUUGAAAUAGAACAUGAAACUGUAAGCUCCCAUGCAGUGGGAGGAGGCUCGAGACUCUGAUCGCAUGCCUGUUGAAGAAUGAGUCGGUGACUCAUAGGCAGUGGCUUGGUUAAGGGAAACCACCGGAGCCGUAGCGAAAGCGAGUCUUCAUAGGGCAAUUGUCACUGCUUAUGGACCCAAACCUGGGUGAUCUGUCCAUGACCAAGAUGAAGCUUGGGUGAAACUAAGAGGAGGUCCGAACUGACUAAUGUUGAAGAAUCAGUGGAUAAGUUGUGGUUAGGGGUGAAAUGCCACUCGAACCCAGAGCUAGCUGGUUCUCCCUAAAAUCCGUUGAGGUGCAGUAGUUUACUAGACAUCUAGGGGUAAAACACUGUUUCGGUGCGGGCCAUGAGAGCGGUACCAAAUCGAGGCAAACUCUAAUACUAGAUAUGACCUCAAAAUAACAAGGGUCAAGGUCGGCCAGUGAGACGAUGGGGGAUAAGCUUCAUCGUCAAGAGGGAAACAGCCCAGAUCACCAGCUAAGGCCCCUAAAUGACCGCUCAGUGAUAAAGGAGGUAGGGGUGCAGAGACAACCAGGAGGUUUUCCUAGAAGCAGCCACCCUUGAAAGAAUGCAUAAUAGCUCACUGAUCGAGCGCUCUUGUGCCGAAGAUGAACGGGGCUAAGCGAUCUGCCAAAGCUGUGGGGUGUAAAAAUGAAUCGGUAGGGGAGUGUACCAUCUUAGAGGGAAGGACCCAUGCGAGUAGUGCUGGACGAAGCAGAAGCGGGAAUGUUGGCUUGACUAACGCAAACGUUGGUAAGAAUCCAAUGCCUCGAAAACCCAAGGGUUCCUUCGUAAGGUUCAUCCACGGAGGGUGAGUCAAGGCCUAAGAUCCGGCCGAAGGGCGUAGUCGAUGGACAAAAGGUGAAUAUUCUUGUACUACCCUUUAUUGGACUCGAGGGAUGGAGGAGGCUAGGUUAGCCAAAAUAUGGUUAUCGGUUCAAGGACGCAAGGUGCCCCUGCUUUUUCAGAGUAAUAAGGGUAGAUAAAAUGCGUUGAGCCAAAGUUCGAGUACCAAGCGCUACAGCGCUGAAGUAAUCCAUGCCAUACUUCUAGGUAAAGCUUAAAUGACCUUCAAUAAAUGGGUACUUGUACCCGAAACCAACACAGGUGGGUAGGUAAAGAAUACCUAGGGGCACGAGACAACUCUCUCUAAGGAACUCAGCAAAAUAGCCCCGUAACUUCGAGAGAAGAGGUGCCUCCUCACAAAGGAGGUCGUUGUGACUAGGCUCGGGUGAUUGUUUACCAAAAACACAUGUCUCCGCAAAGUCGUAAGACCAUGUAUGGGGGCUGACACCUGCCAAGUGCCGGAAGGUCAAGGAAGUUAGUGACCAGAUGACAGGGGAUCCGAUGACCGAAGCCUCGGUGAACGGCGACCGUAACUAUAACGUCUUAAGGUAGCGCAAUUCCUUGUCAGGUAAGUUCCAACCCGCAUGAAAGGCAUAAUGAUUUGGGCACUGCCUCGGAGAGAGACUCGGUGAAAUAGACAUGUUUGUGAAGAUGCGGACUACCUGCACUUGGACAGAAAGACCAUAUGAAGCUUCACUAUUUCCUGGGAUUGGCUUUGGGCUUUUCCUGCGUAGCUUAGGUGGAGGGCAAAGAAGGCUUCUUUCUUAGGGGGGGGGGGGGGGCGAACCCUUAGUGAGAUACCACUCUAGAAGAGCUAGAAUUCUAACCUUGUUCCAGGACCUACGAGCCGAGGGAUAGUCUCAGGUAGAUAGUUUCUAUGGGGCGUAAGCCUCCCUAAAGGUAACGGAGGCGUGCAAAGGUUUCCUCAGGCCAGACGGAGUUUGGCCCUCGAGUGCAAAGGCAGAAGGGAGCUUGAUUGCAAGACCCACCCGUCGAUUAUGGACAAAAGUCGGUCUUAAUGAUCUGACGAUGCCGAGUGGAAGGGCCAUCGCUCAAUGGAUAAAAGUUACUCUAGGGAUAACAGACUGAUCUUCCCUAAGAUCUCACAUGGAUGGGAAGGUUUGGCACCUCGAUGUCGGCUCUUCGCCACCUGAGGCUGUAGUAUGUUCCAAGGGUUUGGUUGUUCGCCCAUUAAAGCGGUACGUGAGCUGGGUUUAGAACGUCAUAAGAUAGUUCGGUCCAUAUCCAAUGUGGGCUUUAGAGCAUUGAGAGGACCUUUCCCUAGUAUGAGAGGGUCGGGAAGGACGCACCUCUAGUGUGCCAGUUAUUGUACCCACGAUAAACGCUGGGUAGCCAAGUACGAAAUGGAUAACUGCUGAAAGCAUCUAAGUAGUAAACCCACCCCAAGAUGAGUGUUCUUCUAUCCCGACUUCCCCAGAGCCUCCGAUAGCACAGCCGAGACAACGAUGGAUUCUCUGCCCCGGCAGGGAUGGAGCGAAAGAAGUUUUGAGAAU